Molecule: long non-coding RNA, 393 nt
Organism: Toxotes jaculatrix (banded archerfish)
Lineage: Eukaryota; Metazoa; Chordata; Actinopteri; Toxotidae
Exons: 3
Source: RefSeq, a predicted model, not a curated record
CCCCCGUGGUAGCUGUGGCUUGGCGUGGCAGAGCGUUUUGUUUGGCGUGGCUGUGACUUCUUUCAGUCGGACGCAAUAGUUGUUGUUUGCGGCAGCCGUCGAGGCACUGGUCUCCACGCAUUCAGCGCACCUGGUUGCUGGCACUGUGGGAGACUGUGGGAUUGUUCCGCUGGAUUUCUUACGGGUCCAUUUGCGUGUCCGUUGGUGCUGAGGGCCUGAGGCAGCAGUAGAUCCCUGGUGGUGGUGGUCUUCACGAUUCUUUUUUGUUGGUGUCACGGGUGGCUAGUUUUAUGGACCUUCCCCUUUUGAUUUUCCCUGCCACCGUGGUAAGCCCUUGCUCUACUUGCACCCCUAGGCCCAAGUGCUAGUUUGAUGGUGGCUAACUCCUUAGUG